GACGAACGCUGGCGGCGUGCCUAACACAUGCAAGUCGAGCGAAUGAAGUUCCUUCGGGACUGGAUUUAGCGGCGGACGGGUGAGUAACACGUGGGCAACCUGCCUCAUAGAGGGGAAUAGCCUCCCGAAAGGGAGAUUAAUACCGCAUAAGAUUGUAGUACCGCAUGAUACAGCAAUUAAAGGAGCAAUCCGCUAUGAGAUGGGCCCGCGGCGCAUUAGCUAGUUGGUGAGGUAAUGGCUCACCAAGGCGACGAUGCGUAGCCGACCUGGGAGGGUGAUCGGCCACAUUGGGACUGAGACACGGCCCAGACUCCUACGGGAGGCAGCAGUGGGGAAUAUUGCACAAUGGGGGAAACCAUGAUGCAGCAACGCCGCGUGAGUGAUGACGGCCUUCGGGUUGUAAAGCUCUGUCUUCAGGGACGAUAAUGACGGUACCUGAGGAGGAAGCCACGGCUAACUACGUG
RNAcentral lists this ribosomal RNA (464 nucleotides) under uncultured bacterium. RNAcentral's name for it is "partial 16S ribosomal RNA". It matches the Rfam family "Bacterial small subunit ribosomal RNA", at positions 28 to 507 of the family's 1533-position model. The record is from RNAcentral.